Myotis davidii is the source of this 75-nucleotide non-coding RNA. NCBI's taxonomy places the organism in Eukaryota, Metazoa, Chordata, Mammalia, Chiroptera, Vespertilionidae. The record is from Rfam.
GGCGGUUCUCAGGUGAUGCAUCUCAGAAUCGGGCUCCCUCCUCUCUGGUUCCAGGGUCAUCACCUGAAAACCACA